UGCAUUUUUACCUAGGUGGAGAAAUGAGCUAGAAUCUAAAUAGUAGAUGUCUAAGCAUCGUGAUGUGAAGAAUCUAGAGCCUGACUGAUUCAGUCACCACUGAAGCUCCACCAGUGCUGAGUCACCAUUUCUUACAUAAAUCAGCACAGUGGACAUCCUUUGACUCACCCGGUGGCAUGUCACAGCACAGGACUUGUCCUUAGAACAUGUCUAGGCAACUGGACUGAUAUCUGUUUUGUUUCCUUUUCCUUCUACCCUGAAUGCCAAACUGGAGCAAAACAUGCUGAACAGAUUACUCCAAUAACAACAAGAUGGGUCAGGAACCAUGAACUAUGAACUGUUGCCAACUAAUCUAUCAUCCUGGUAUGAAAUGCUAUCAUUGGGUCUCCAACAUGGCAGGGUUAAGAAGAAAUUUCCUCCCAUCUCCCAUGGAGACGACAACCCAGAGCCUGACCAGUGUCUGGAGUGAGGGUCCUGCCUGCGUUCCUGGGAAUCUGAACCUGUGUUUGAGGCAGUAAGAUCUUUCUGUACCUGAGCACUGACACAUGAUCAACGCCAAUGUUAGUGACUGCAGAAGAAGACAUUUCAUGCUAAUCAUCUUCCAUCAAAUGCGGGCGACCAGGUCAUUUGGUACUCAUUGCUCUGAAAAUGUUCAUCAAACAUUGUAAUUUGUUUUCAUGUAACCAACAUCAGCUCAGGUCAAACUUAGACCUUUUUCUAAACCUUUGGUUGGGAAAUGGUUUCCUGAUUUCUGUGAACUACAACCUGAGGGCUCGUUUAAGCAAAUGGAGUGAUGCAGUUGAGUUUUGGCUAAAGAAUUGUGAAAACUGAAAUGCAUGGAUUCUGUUUCUUAGAAGUCAGGUGGAGUGAGAUAGAAAACCCAGGCUUCCCGUCUUAUUCACAGCUGCUACAUUUUACACUCCAGCCUGCUUCAAAAUGUAGGCUUACAUAAAUCUUCGUUUGGUGCAUUCAAUAGUCUAGGAUCGCUGUUUGGCCAUUAGUGUCUUUUAAAAAUUCAGUUCAUGUGUUUAAAGCCCAGACUCAAGUAUACUUUGCUAAAUUUUAUUUAAAAUUAAGAUUUUAAAACACAAUAUACUCUUAUAUUUCAGCAUUACAUUUCUUCCUCAAGCAGUAAAAAUGUCUGAAUAAAAAUAAAAGAUUAGGUUUAGUGAAGCUGAUUGUGGGUUAAGAGUUCCAUCUAGUGGUCAGUUCAGGAAGUUCAUUUAACUACUAAGUAAAUAUGAUAGAUGUCUUUUUUGCUUCCAUAUUACAAAGUGGUGCAUUUGAUCUUGAACUUACUCAUAAUCUGGUUCUGUAUCUACAUAUAUGACAUAUUAUGGGAUGCGAGGAAGCUAUAUUUGGAAUAUGUUGCUCUCAGCAAAUGGCAUGGGGCCAUCAUGUUGAACACAAACAAGGAAAACAUAAAAGACAGGAGCCCAAGGCUUUCCCUCUUGUACGUAAACUUUUCCUGAGUUUUCUUUUGACAUAAUUAAUUAAUAGUAUCAAACCAAACUCCCACAGAAAUAGCAAACAAAAUAGAACUCCCCCACCCCCUAUGUGUGUAGAGAUGGGCUUGGAUACAGGAAAAUAACUCAUUUAACUAUCCUCUCAGAGUCUCUUUCCUCAUGACCAGUGUUCACAAUGAACGCAAGCAGAAGGGAGGCUUCGUCAACCCCUCAGGAGAGCUCUCUAGUCACUGGCUAGAGGAACUGAUGAUGUAGUUCCAAUCUCACCCAUUUUCUGUUGAGCCUCCAUCCACCAGAGUCUGCUGGAGCUCUUCCAGCAUGGCCAUCAUGGAUUUCCCUUCUCCCUUCUGAGGACCGCUCACCUCUGUGGGUUGCGCCUCAUGUCACUCUCACAGCAUAUCUGUCCUGUUGCCAUGUGAACUUCAUACGGAAAGCUAGAGUCCCAUUAAGUUUUAGGGAAUGUUUCUUUCCAAAUGACCCGGGUUUCCAUUUCCCACGUCACUGUUUCCUGACUUCGGUAAAACAGUUUAUGACAAUAACACAACUCAGGAUUGAGGAGAGCGGUUCGUUAUUCUCUGCGUGUCGAAAUCAAGUGUAAGGCUCGGAGAGAAGAUUUAGGUCUCUUCCUCAAUUGUUCUUUCUUUAGGAAGGACCCAAGAUUACUUCUGGGAGACUCUGUCUUCACAAAAACUGUCCUGAGUGUUGUAAUUUGAGAAAGCAGCAGGUUUUUGACAUAACUCUGCUCAUUAUAGAUCACAAGACUUGAAAACUAUGGACGUUCAUAAGCAGACAGAGUAGAAGACUGUAGUUAAAGAUAAAGCAAAUGAGGGUGAAAGAUUUGCAGUAUUGUACUGGGGGCGUUGCUCGGUUGGUAAGGAGCUUGCCUAGCAGCCAAAGGCCAGUUUUGGCCUUGGAAACACAUAAACUGGUUAUGAUGGCACAGGCCUGUCAUCCCAGCUCAUGGAAGCUAGUCACAGAACAAUCAGAAGCUUAAGGUCAUCUUCAGCUGCACAGUGGGUUCAAGACCACGUGAGUUUCUGUCUCAAAAACAAACAGAAAUACAGUGAUUUCUGAGCAUUAACUUUGUCCCUUAGCCAUAUGUUAAACAUGUUCCAAAGCUGCAUUUUUCAUAAUAAUCUGAAUCACACAAAUCAGGCUACUAAUGAGCCUAGUUAGCAGAGUAGGAAACUGAGGCACAAGGUCCUUGUAAACACAGCCAAUGUCACAAUGCUAAAACACAGCAGUAGAAGAUUUGAAUCCAGGGUCCUUCUCCAAUGAGCAGUCAUGUUCUUGGAC
RNAcentral lists this long non-coding RNA (2762 nucleotides) under Cricetulus griseus (Chinese hamster). RNAcentral describes it as "lncRNA (ENSCGRG00015029733.1)". Lineage: Eukaryota; Metazoa; Chordata; Mammalia; Rodentia; Cricetidae. The record is from RNAcentral.